AAGAAAAGAAAUGGUAGACUGAACCAUAUAAAUAUUUUCAUUAUAUAUGUGACUGCAUCGUGACUAUAGGUCAACCAAGGUCGGAUCAUAAGGCACCUAAGUAAUCUAGUCGGGAUAUUCAACCUCUAUCUUUAUGUAAAAACCAAAUCCUGAACCUUAUGGUACGAACAAGGAUACUCAUACUUCUUUUAUGGAUAAAGCUAACAAAAAUGCAGUUAACAAAUAUGAACUCCUGAGGCCUUCCUAUUGUCAUUAAAUACACGUGUGGGGAUCUAAUAAUAGGUCUCUGAUCAGUCAUAGUAUGCAUGUGUUCCUUGCCUUAAUAGUUGCACACACUCAAUAUGAAAAUACAUGUGCAUUUGCUCAGAAAAGAAAGUAAUAGAAUAAAUCA
This 391-nucleotide long non-coding RNA is filed under the name Phoenix dactylifera (date palm). Its description in RNAcentral is "long non-coding RNA (PDAC_LNC013615)". The record is from RNAcentral. Lineage: Eukaryota; Viridiplantae; Streptophyta; Magnoliopsida; Arecales; Arecaceae.